AUUGUAAAUAUAACCAUGUCAGCAAAAGAUCAACAGUUUAAAGCAAGGACGGAAGACUGUGUUAGAUUUGUCUCGGGAAACUAUAAACCAACAAACAUAAGGGAAAUCUAGCCUGAAACGAGUUCGAAAAUAGUUCCCAUUUUUUUAAUUGUUAAACAUAGAUGCUCUAUUGCGCAAGAUACAAGGGUGAAAAUAACAAAAAAA
Non-coding RNA from Schizosaccharomyces pombe (fission yeast), 204 nucleotides. NCBI's taxonomy places the organism in Eukaryota, Fungi, Ascomycota, Schizosaccharomycetes, Schizosaccharomycetales, Schizosaccharomycetaceae. The record is from the annotation of a GenBank genome assembly.